UCUACCAAAAUACCUAGUUCUAACUCUACCAAUCUUUCAAUCAAUAUUCACGGUUUGAAUCCUCUUCCCAUUUUACAAAAAACUCAUCUAUUACUGCCCCUACAUCACCAAACAAUGACGACUCUUCGUACUGGAUUUCUCCUUCUUGUAACCCUAUAUUGAACAAGAAUAAGGAUUUCUCCUUCGGCUAACCCUGGAUUUCUUCUUCGACGUUUCGUUGUCAGAAUAUGGUUCAUUAAAUCAGCAAAAAUCUAGUUUGAACUGCAACUCUUUCGGGUAACCCUCUUUGUUUUGGAUCAUCAGCACAAUUCAUCAAUGACGGGUAUUUCGUACUUGAACCUGCAGAUAAGUUUCAAGAUUGCAUGGCAAAGUUUGAUUAUCCUACUAGUACAAUAUACAUAUAACUUAAGCUUCAGAUCAAGUUGGGUUCGAGAAUUAGCUAGGCUCGAAGCGAUAUAGUGGCUUUACAAACUCUACGGAAUGCUUAAUAGCUCCGCACGUCGUAUGCAUUGCAAAGGAUCAGCAAGCCUCAUGAUGUUUUGAUGUCUUUCAUCUAGUGAUUGUUCGGCGCUCCGAUUUUAUUUUUGUAAAUUUAUUUUGGGAGGAGACAUUAUAUUGAUUAUAAAGUGAUAUAUCCAUUAGGAUUGGUUUUCACGACUAACAUUUGAAUUAAGAAUUUGACCCGGUGGAUAAAUCAAUUUUGUGUUAUUACUUGUUGUUUGUCUAUAUAAUAAUGGUGUAUCAGUAUGUAACUCAAUACUCAAAAAUUAAAAAGGAAAAUUAAUUUCUAAGAAAAAAUAUGGAAAUA
Long non-coding RNA from Papaver somniferum (opium poppy), 808 nucleotides. RefSeq lists it as uncharacterized. The record is from RefSeq and is a predicted model, not a curated record. The transcript has 2 exons. NCBI's taxonomy places the organism in Eukaryota, Viridiplantae, Streptophyta, Magnoliopsida, Ranunculales, Papaveraceae.